This 1017-nucleotide ribosomal RNA is filed under the name uncultured bacterium. Its description in RNAcentral is "bacterial SSU rRNA". It matches the Rfam family "Bacterial small subunit ribosomal RNA", at positions 357 to 1376 of the family's 1533-position model. The record is from RNAcentral.
AGGAAUAUUGGUCAAUGGGCGGGAGCCUGAACCAGCCAAGUAGCGUGAAGGACGACGGCCCUACGGGUUGUAAACUUCUUUUAUAAGGGAAUAAAGUUCGCCACGUGUGGUGUUUUGUAUGUACCUUAUGAAUAAGCAUCGGCUAAUUCCGUGCCAGCAGCCGCGGUAAUACGGAAGAUGCGAGCGUUAUCCGGAUUUAUUGGGUUUAAAGGGAGCGUAGGCGGGCUUUUAAGUCAGCGGUCAAAUGUCGUGGCUCAACCAUGUCAAGCCGUUGAAACUGUAAGCCUUGAGUCUGCACAGGGCACAUGGAAUUCGUGGUGUAGCGGUGAAAUGCUUAGAUAUCACGAAGAACUCCGAUCGCGAAGGCAUUGUGCCGGGGCAUAACUGACGCUGAGGCUCGAAAGUGCGGGUAUCAAACAGGAUUAGAUACCCUGGUAGUCCGCACGGUAAACGAUGAAUGCUCGCUAUGGGCGAUAUAUUGUCCGUGGCCAAGCGAAAGCGUUAAGCAUUCCACCUGGGGAGUACGCCGGCAACGGUGAAACUCAAAGGAAUUGACGGGGGCCCGCACAAGCGGAGGAACAUGUGGUUUAAUUCGAUGAUACGCGAGGAACCUUACCCGGGCUUGAAUUGCAGGUGCAUGAGUCAGAGACGGCUCUUUCCUUCGGGACUCCUGUGAAGGUGCUGCAUGGUUGUCGUCAGCUCGUGCCGUGAGGUGUCGGCUUAAGUGCCAUAACGAGCGCAACCCCUCUCCUUAGUUGCCAUCAGGUUAAGCUGGGCACUCUGGGGACACUGCCACCGUAAGGUGUGAGGAAGGUGGGGAUGACGUCAAAUCAGCACGGCCCUUACGUCCGGGGCUACACACGUGUUACAAUGGCAGGUACAGAGAGACGGUCCCUUGCAAAAUGGAUCAAAUCCUUAAAGCCUGUCUCAGUUCGGACUGGGGUCUGCAACCCGACCCCACGAAGCUGGAUUCGCUAGUAAUCGCGCAUCAGCCAUGGCGCGGUGAAUACGUUCCCG